RNAcentral lists this ribosomal RNA (402 nucleotides) under uncultured bacterium. RNAcentral's name for it is "bacterial SSU rRNA". It matches the Rfam family "Bacterial small subunit ribosomal RNA", at positions 377 to 796 of the family's 1533-position model. The record is from RNAcentral.
GAAAGCCUGAUGCAGCAACGCCGCGUGAGUGAUGAAGGCUUUCGAGUCGUAAAGCUCUUUGAUCAGGGAUGAUAAUGACAGUACCUGAAAAACAAGCCACGGCUAACUACGUGCCAGCAGCCGCGGUAAUACGUAGGUGGCGAGCGUUGUCCGGAAUUACUGGGCGUAAAGGAUGSGUAGGUGGAUAUUUAAGUGGGAUGUGAAAUCCCCGGGCUCAACCCGGGAACUGCAUUCCAAACUGGAUAUCUAGAGUGCAGGAGAGGAAAGCGGAAUUCCUAGUGUAGCGGUGAAAUGCGUAGAUAUUAGGAGGAACACCAGUGGCGAAGGCGGCUUUCUGGACUGUAACUGACACUGAGGCAUGAAAGCGUGGGUAGCAAACAGGAUUAGAUACCCUGGUAGUCC